UGGUCUAGAUUUCGUGUACACUAAAGAACCAAUUGGGUCUGAAUCAUUUGCAUAUUAAAAAGAUCAUAAAACUCAUCCCAUCUUCGGGUGUGGUUGGAGUAUUUAAAAUCCACGCCUUCCUAGUGAACAUCAGGCUCAAGUUGAGUAUGAAUCACAUUUGAGUUAGGUGUCAAUUGGGUCCUGAUUCCUAUUAAGCAUCAUACUUACCAACUAUAAUUGGCAAGCAAGGUUGCAAUAGCUUGCCCUUGACAUAAAGAGAAUGUAG
Molecule: long non-coding RNA, 265 nt
Filed under: Elaeis guineensis (African oil palm)
Lineage: Eukaryota; Viridiplantae; Streptophyta; Magnoliopsida; Arecales; Arecaceae
Description: long non-coding RNA (EGUI_LNC020060)
Source: RNAcentral